Molecule: RNase P RNA, 349 nt
Filed under: Candidatus Kaiserbacteria bacterium
Lineage: Bacteria; Candidatus Kaiseribacteriota
Description: RNase P RNA component class A
Rfam family: Bacterial RNase P class A
About the family: Ribonuclease P (RNase P) is a ubiquitous endoribonuclease, found in archaea, bacteria and eukarya as well as chloroplasts and mitochondria. Its best characterised activity is the generation of mature 5'-ends of tRNAs by cleaving the 5'-leader elements of precursor-tRNAs. Cellular RNase Ps are ribonucleoproteins.
Source: RNAcentral
AUACCCAAAUAGACAAUCGCUCCAUCGUGCCACUGGUACAGUGUGAGAGGAAAGUCCGGACACUCCCGUCUUUUUUAAGGCGGAGCAGGGUAGCGGGUAACACCCGUCAGGUGAAAACCGAGGGAUGCGAGCAGUGACGCCUGAGCUGAGAAGCAACGGCACCUCUCUGAGGUGAAUGCUAUGGCAACAUAGUGGUGAAACGGCUAAAUUCCUACCUGGGUGCAAGGUCGUGCCGAGGCAGCAAUGCCACGGAGUGCCGCACAGAACACACCGGUAACGGUAUGUCAAGAUAAAUGAUUGUCACCCGCAUAAGCGGGUACAGAAUCCGGCUUAUCGUUUGGGUCAAUGA